Chlorocebus sabaeus (green monkey) is the source of this 307-nucleotide non-coding RNA. The record is from RefSeq and is a predicted model, not a curated record. NCBI's taxonomy places the organism in Eukaryota, Metazoa, Chordata, Mammalia, Primates, Cercopithecidae.
UCAUGCUUGUCAACCACCUCCAUACACCACAUCCAGCAAAGCUCCCUGAGUGACUCAGUCACCAACCACCAGUGCACUGAUCUUUCCUCUGUGUCCUUCCAGUUUGUCCUGAGGAUGGCCUGUUUUUAAGAGGCUCACCACAACGAAAGGAUGAAGAAGAAGAGAAAGAAGAUGCUAAUGAUAAUAAUGAUGUCCAGAGAAUAACAGAUCUGUGUGAAGCGCACAGCAGAAUCUGAUUCUCACGAUGUUUUCUUUCAUAUAAUUGCAGGGAACAGCUUUGAAUGAAAACGGUAUGUACCAUGAAAUA